This is a long non-coding RNA of Ictalurus punctatus (channel catfish), 851 nucleotides long. The record is from Ensembl. NCBI's taxonomy places the organism in Eukaryota, Metazoa, Chordata, Actinopteri, Siluriformes, Ictaluridae.
CCUGUUAUUUUAAUGCAUAUCCUGUGUAGUGAACUCGUGGAGGAAGGAGACAGCCAAAGGGAUUGAGUCGCGGUCUGGUGUUUGGACAGUGAUUAACGUUUUCUGUGUCUGUCUCCGCCAAGCCACUAACCCAUCCUAUCUACCUCGAGAGCGGAUAACUACUACUAACACUUGGUGCAUAUGACAGCGUGUUAGUGUAAUGUUUUAGCACAGAGUUCGGCGUGUUACUAUAAUGUUUUAGCAUAGUGUUAAUGUAAUGUUUCAGCACAGGGUUACUGUAUUGCUUCAGCACAGAGUUCAGCGUGUUACUGUAAUGUUUUAGCACAGUGUUACUGUAUUGCUUCAGCACAGAGUUCAGCGUGUUACUGUAAUGUUUUAGCAUAGAGUUUGGCGUGUUAGUGUAAUGAUUUAGCACAGUGUUACUGUAAUGUUUAGCACAGCGUUCAGAGUGUUAGUGUAAUGUUUUAGCACAGCGUCAGUGUAAUGUUUUAGCACAGUGUUAUUGUAAUGUUUUAACACAGAUUUCGGCCGUUAGUGUAAUGUUUUAGCACAGUGUUACUGUAAUGUUUUAGCACAGCGUUAGUGUAAUGUUUUAGCACAGUGUUAGUAGUGUUACUGUAAUGUUUUAGCACAGUGUUAUUGUAAUGUUUUAGCACAGUGUUACUGUAAUGUUUUGCACAGUGUUACUGUAAUGUUUUAGCACAGUGUUAUUGUAAUGUUUUAGCACAGUGUUAUUGUAAUGUUUUAGCACAGCGUUAGUGUAAUGUUUUAGCACAGUGUUACUGUAAUGUUUUAGCAGAGCGUUCAGAGUGUUAGUGUAAUGUUUUAGCACAGUGUUACUGUAAUGUUUU